GAUAAUCCAAAACAAAAGAAUGAAGUCCUCAAAAUCAUUCAGAUCUCAUGAUAGAAAUGAUAUGAUCUCAUGACAGGAAAACUAACUUGGUGGAAGAUAUGGGUGCAACGAGGCAUUAACCCCAUAAAAGUGGAGCAAUGGUGGUCACUCCAAGGUUGCCACAAUCCCAUAAAAGAAUCAGACAACCAAACUUGGUAGAUGUCAUUAGCAGAUGAUGACAGGGGGUUCAACGAGAUAGUCACGUGACAUGCGUGGCAAUCGAUAACAUCACAAGUAGUUGUAAGGCUUUAUAUGGAAAUCAUAGAACGAAAAUAAGCAAUUUGGGGGUAUGGAGUUCCUCAUUUGUAUAUUACAAAAACAUAAUCAUCCAGGAUCUACCAAAAAUAAGUCGCCAAAAAGGUCUUGGAGCUGCAAAAAAGAAGUCGCCGAAACAGUAUUGGAGCAACCAAAAAGAAGUCGCAAAAAAGGUCUUGGAGCAACGAAAAAGAAGUCGCCAAAACUGUCUUGAGCCAACCAAAAAGAAGUCGCUAAAAAAAGUCGCAAAAAAGGUCUUGGAGCAACCAAAAAGAAGUCGCCAAGAAGUUUGACCUCUCGUUAGACCACCUACAUGACGCCGACCAAGUUGUCGCCAAAAGAUGUUUCUAUCAUGAGAUAUAUAUGAAAUAUGAUUGUUUUGAUGUCAAAAUAUUUUAUUUUUUUAUGACGUCACCGAUGACAUUAUUCAUCACGUGACCAUCUCGGUGCAUCCUUGACACAUGCAUGACCAAGUUUGAAUGCCAUACGAUGACCUCAUUUGUAGACAUUCGGCACCACGCGUCACGAAAACUCGAGUGGAUGGAGAAUAAAUAUCAGCUAAAAAAUAAAACAUCAUUUUAUUAAUACUCAAAAUGUAUACAACUCAAUGAUUUUACGCUAAGUUUCUUGACAUAAAUUGAUGCAAUUACAAUGUUACAUUCAAUAUCAAAUGUUAAAGAGUUUACAUUUACAUAGAGAUUACACUGUUUUUAUAACUGCAAUUACAGGUGUUUAUUUUAAGGAUGAUUAGACCGUUGACCAAUUCGAAAUAUCGCUAGAGGGUCGUCCGAGAAACCCAAUGAAUCGCGCUCAAGAUAAAAAAAACCUUCGUAGAAAAAAACUAAAAGAAAAAUCGCCAAAACGAUAUCCAGGUGAAUACAAUAUGAUCGCAACGAACACUUGA
Long non-coding RNA from Nematostella vectensis (starlet sea anemone), 1198 nucleotides. RefSeq lists it as uncharacterized. The transcript is spliced from 2 exons. The record is from RefSeq and is a predicted model, not a curated record. NCBI's taxonomy places the organism in Eukaryota, Metazoa, Cnidaria, Anthozoa, Actiniaria, Edwardsiidae.